Non-coding RNA from Phoenix dactylifera (date palm), 632 nucleotides. The record is from RefSeq and is a predicted model, not a curated record. NCBI's taxonomy places the organism in Eukaryota, Viridiplantae, Streptophyta, Magnoliopsida, Arecales, Arecaceae.
UUUUCCUUUUUGCUAUCAUCUUCACUGUUGGGGCAUUGAAGCUUUGAAAGAGGAUGUGUCGGAAAAGAUGCUGUGGCUCAGGUUUCUGUUGUAUGGUAGAAAAGAUAGCUUUGUUAUUGUGGAGGAACCCUUACGUCUUUGCUAAUUCCUUCUUGGCAAUAUUUGGCUUUGGAUUCUCUGUGGGUUGUGGGAUUGGAUGUCUCUAAAGGCGAUUGCUUUAGAGAGGAUUGGAUUUUUGGAUUGCUUAAAAUAGUCAAGUGGUGCAAGGGCUUUGCGGUUAAACAUUUUGAUGGAGAUACAAGAUCUUGGUGUGAUAUCUCUCGCAAGAACACUUAAUUUCGUCACUUUGCAGAAGAAUAUAUGAGUUUCGGGGUGAAAGGAGUAAUUGAUUUGAUGAUCCACAGACCCAGUAUCGUCAAUUACUGAUCUACAAAUGAAAUUGUUUUAACGAACAAAUGAAUAUCUGUAAUCUCGUUCUGUAGUUGCUGUUUUUAAUGCUUUUUCUGGGUUUCUUAUGUGUGUCAAGAAACAUAAUUCAUUUGAUUACAAAGAGUUGCUUGUUUUUACCAUAAAGUGAUCCGGGCAUUUGUUUUGAAAUGUUCUUCAGUCCAUUAAUCUGAUUUAUUGGCAAA